GAGCGACCGUCGGGGCCGGCUGGGGCCGGAGCUCGGGGCUCGGUGGGCCUACAGCGGCUCCGGACGGACCCCCGGGGCUGGGGAGUCGGGGAGGCCUGCCCCGGCCCCCUGCCCGCGGCCGCCAUGGCGGAGAAUUGGAAGAACUGCUUCGAGGAGGAGCUCAUCUGCCCUAUCUGCCUGCACGUUUUCGUGGAGCCAGUGCAGCUGCCGUGCAAACACAACUUCUGCCGGGGCUGCAUCGGCGAGGCGUGGGCCAAGGACAGCGGCCUCGUACGCUGCCCAGAGUGCAACCAGGCCUACAACCAGAAGCCGGGCCUGGAGAAGAACCUGAAGCUCACCAACAUCGUGGAGAAGUUCAAUGCCCUGCACGUGGAGAAGCCGCCGGCGGCGCUGCACUGCGUGUUCUGCCGCCGCGGCCCCCCGCUGCCCGCGCAGAAGGUCUGCCUGCGCUGCGAGGCGCCCUGCUGCCAGUCCCACGUGCAGACGCACCUGCAGCAGCCCUCCACCGCCCGCGGGCACCUCCUGGUGGAGGCGGACGACGUGCGGGCCUGGAGCUGCCCGCAGCACAACGCCUACCGCCUCUACCACUGCGAGGCCGAGCAGGUGGCCGUGUGCCAGUACUGCUGCUACUACAGCGGCGCGCAUCAGGGACACUCGGUGUGCGACGUGGAGAUCCGAAGGAAUGAAAUCCGGAAGAUGCUCAUGAAGCAGCAGGACCGGCUGGAGGAGCGAGAGCAGGACAUUGAGGACCAGCUGUACAAACUCGAGUCAGACAAGCGCCUGGUGGAGGAGAAAGUGAACCAACUGAAGGAGGAAGUUCGGCUGCAGUACGAGAAGCUGCACCAGCUGCUGGACGAGGACCUGCGGCAGACAGUGGAGGUCCUAGACAAGGCCCAGGCCAAGUUCUGCAGCGAGAACGCAGCGCAGGCGCUGCACCUCGGGGAGCGCAUGCAGGAGGCCAAGAAGCUGCUGGGCUCCCUGCAGCUGCUCUUUGAUAAGACGGAGGAUGUCAGCUUCAUGAAGAACACCAAGUCUGUGAAAAUCCUGAUGGACAGCAGAUGCCCCGUCCACUGCCCCCAGGACCCAGACCUGCACGAGCAGCAGCCUUUCCCCCACUAAGAUCGGCCACCUGAACUCCAAGCUCUUCCUGAACGAAGUGGCCAAGAAGGAGAAGCAGCUGCGGAAAAUGCUAGAAGGCCCCUUCAGCACGCCGGUGCCCUUCCUGCAGAGUGUCCCCCUGUACCCUUGCGGCGUGAGCAGCUCUGGGGCGGAAAAGCGCAAGCACUCAACGGCCUUCCCAGAGGCCAGUUUCCUAGAGACGUCGUCGGGCCCUGUGGGCGGCCAGUACGGGGCGGCGGGCACAGCCAGCGGUGAGGGCCAGUCUGGGCAGCCCCUGGGGCCCUGCAGCUCCACGCAGCACUUGGUGGCCCUGCCGGGCGGCGCCCAACCAGUGCACUCAAGCCCCGUGUUCCCCCCAUCGCAGUAUCCCAAUGGCUCCGCCGCCCAGCAGCCCAUGCUCCCCCAGUAUGGCGGCCGCAAGAUUCUCGUCUGUUCUGUGGACAACUGUUACUGUUCUUCCGUGGCCAACCAUGGCGGCCACCAGCCCUACCCCCGCUCCGGCCACUUUCCCUGGACAGUGCCCUCGCAGGAGUACUCACACCCGCUCCCGCCCACACCCUCCGUCCCCCAGUCCCUUCCCAGCCUGGCGGUCAGAGACUGGCUUGACGCCUCCCAGCAGCCCGGCCACCAGGAUUUCUACAGGGUGUAUGGGCAGCCGUCCACCAAACACUACGUGACGAGCUAACGCCACGCAGGCGGCGGGGCGCUGGGGAAUCUUCCUCCCCAGCCCCCGGGCUCGGGAGUUAUGCAUCCAGAGACCUGCCCUUCUACCUUCCUCGCCUCCCCUCUUCCUCAUUCCAUUGCCCCAGGUCUUUUCCUUUUGGAUUUUGUUUUGGUUUUGGCUUUGUUUUUGAUUUUUUUUUAUUAUGAAUCUCCUGGACGCAGAGGUGACAGUGGGAGCUGGCCUGGGCCAGGACGGCAGGUGGCCCUGGAGAUGGGAAAGUGUCUGUGUCGAGGCGCUGAGCUCUCUCUCUGUUUCUCCUUUUUUCCUCUACUCCUUCCCCUUCACACCCCCGUGGCUGGAAGGAACCUCGGCUUCCCUGAAAGCUUGGGGGUCCCACCCUUCUUACCCCACCCGGGAGGAACGCCCAGGGCCCCGGGCUUGUUUCUCCUCUUGUUUUCCUUUUGGGCAGUUUGAUCACUGAUCGAGUAAGGAAUGACCUUUAGAUUGUGCGACUUUUGUUUUUGUUUUUUUAAAUUUUUUUAAACCAAGAAUGAUUUCUCCUGCUUCCUUCUCCUCACCAUCUUCCCAGACGGAGUUCAAAGGCCACUUCUCAAGCAGCUUUUGGCACCUUCAGCCUCAGAGUGGAAUCUUUUAAAGACAGGACCCCUAUGUCCAGGAAAGGGGAAAAGGAACUUUGCCAAUGAUAGUGACCACAGCAAAAGCAAAUAAUAAUAAUAUUAAUAAUAAUAAAGAGAAAUAAAAUAAUAAAAUAAAAAACAAUAGCACAGCCCUUGUUGAGGUCAGCAGGGAGGAGGGGCUGCCCGGAGUUGGGUCCUUGCCUGGAUUUUGACACAGCAACUUCCUGUAGUGAGCACUUUGUAUGAAUCGUGGACUUCCUGUUCUCAAGGCGCAGGUAUUUAUUCUGUAUCUGUCUAGAGCACACACCAAAAUCCAACCUUCUAAUAAACAUGAUGGCGCAGUCCCAC
RNA transcript from Homo sapiens (human), 2769 nucleotides. It is a transcript of the gene named tripartite motif containing 8, with no coding region annotated. The transcript is spliced from 6 exons. Lineage: Eukaryota; Metazoa; Chordata; Mammalia; Primates; Hominidae. The record is from RefSeq and is marked reviewed.